CGGGGCGUGGCCCCGUUUGGCGAGGGCGCUACGAUGGGGUCGUAGAAGUCCGGGGUUCAAAUCCCCGCGCCCCGACCU
This 78-nucleotide transfer RNA is filed under the name Chloroflexota bacterium. RNAcentral's name for it is "Chloroflexi bacterium tRNA-Pro". It matches the Rfam family "tRNA". Rfam says of the family: Transfer RNA (tRNA) molecules are approximately 80 nucleotides in length. Their secondary structure includes four short double-helical elements and three loops (D, anti-codon, and T loops). Further hydrogen bonds mediate the characteristic L-shaped molecular structure. tRNAs have two regions of fundamental functional importance: the anti-codon, which is responsible for specific mRNA codon recognition, and the 3' end, to which the tRNAs corresponding amino acid is attached (by aminoacyl-tRNA synthetases). tRNAs cope with the degeneracy of the genetic code in two manners: having more than one tRNA (with a specific anti-codon) for a particular amino acid; and 'wobble' base-pairing, i.e. permitting non-standard base-pairing at the 3rd anti-codon position. The record is from RNAcentral. Lineage: Bacteria; Bacillati; Chloroflexota.